CCUACGGGUGGCAGCAGUGAGGAAUAUUGGUCAAUGGGCGAGAGUCUGAACCAGCCAAGUAGCGUGAAGGAUGACUGCCCUAUGGGUUGUAAACUUCUUUUAUAUGGGAAUAAAGUUCAGUAUGUGUACUUUUUUGUAUGUACUAUAUGAAUAAGGAUCGGCUAACUCCGUGCCAGCAGCCGCGGUAAUACGGAGGAUCCGAGCGUUAUCCGGAUUUAUUGGGUUUAAAGGGCGCGUAGACGGAUGGUUAAGUCAGUUGUGAAAGUUUGCGGCUCAACCGUAAAAUUGCAGUUGAUACUGGGAGUCUUGAGGACAGUAGAGGUAGGCGGAAUUCGUGGUGUAGCGGUGAAAUGCUUAGAUAUCACGAAGAACUCCGAUUGCGAAGGCAGCUUACUAAACUGCCACUGACGUUGAUGCUCGAAAGUGUGGGUAUCAAACAGGAUUAGAUACCCGAGUAGUC
Molecule: ribosomal RNA, 460 nt
Filed under: uncultured bacterium
Lineage: Bacteria
Description: partial 16S ribosomal RNA
Rfam family: Bacterial small subunit ribosomal RNA
Source: RNAcentral